UACAGGGGGGGCAAGCGUUGUUCGGAAUUACUGGGCGUAAAGGGCUCGUAGGUGGCCAACUAAGUCAGACGUGAAAUCCCUCAGCUUAACUGGGGAACUGCGUCUGAUACUGGAUGGCUUGAGUUUGGGAGAGGGAUGCGGAAUUCCAGGUGUAGCGGUGAAAUGCGUAGAUAUCUGGAGGAACACCGGUGGCGAAGGCGGCAUCCUGGACCAACACUGACGCUGAGAAGCGAAAGCAUGGGGAGCGAACAGG
RNAcentral lists this ribosomal RNA (253 nucleotides) under uncultured bacterium. RNAcentral's name for it is "partial 16S ribosomal RNA". It matches the Rfam family "Bacterial small subunit ribosomal RNA", at positions 524 to 776 of the family's 1533-position model. The record is from RNAcentral.